Molecule: ribosomal RNA, 400 nt
Filed under: uncultured bacterium
Lineage: Bacteria
Description: bacterial SSU rRNA
Rfam family: Bacterial small subunit ribosomal RNA
Source: RNAcentral
UGGGGAAUUUUGGACAAUGGGCGAAAGCCUGAUCCAGCAAUGCCGCGUGAGUGAAGAAGGCCUUCGGGUUGUAAAGCUCUUUUGUCAGGGCAGAAACGGUGAGAGCUAAUAUCUCUUGCUAAUGACGGUACCUGAAGAAUAAGCACCGGCUAACUACGUGCCAGCAGCCGCGGUAAUACGUAGGGUGCAAGCGUUAAUCGGAAUUACUGGGCGUAAAGCGUGCGCAGGCGGUCUUGUAAGUCUGAUGUGAAAUCCCCGGGCUCAACCUGGGAAUUGCAUUGGAGACUGCAAGGCUAGAAUCUGGCAGAGGGGGGUAGAAUUCCACGUGUAGCAGUGAAAUGCGUAGAUAUGUGAGGAACACGAUGGGCAAGGGCAGGCCCCUGGGUCAAGAUUGACGCUC